CAGCCGCCGCGGGAAUACGUAGGUCCCGAGCGUUGUCCGGAUUUAUUGGGCGUAAAGGGAGCGCAGGCGGUUUAGUAAGUCUGGAGUUAAAGGCAUUGGCUCAACCAAUGUAUGCUUUGGAAACUGUUUGACUUGAGUGCAGAAGGGGAGAGUGGAAUUCCAUGUGUAGCGGAGAAAUGCGUAGAUAUAUGGAGGAACACCAGUGGCGAAGGCGGCUCUCUGGUCUGUAACUGACGCUGAGGCUCGAAAGCGUGGGGAGCAAACAGGAUUAGAUACCCCAGUAGUCCCUGUCUCUUAUACA
RNAcentral lists this ribosomal RNA (301 nucleotides) under uncultured bacterium. RNAcentral describes it as "partial 16S ribosomal RNA". It matches the Rfam family "Bacterial small subunit ribosomal RNA", at positions 509 to 808 of the family's 1533-position model. The record is from RNAcentral.